RNAcentral lists this ribosomal RNA (486 nucleotides) under uncultured bacterium. Its description in RNAcentral is "partial 16S ribosomal RNA". It matches the Rfam family "Bacterial small subunit ribosomal RNA", at positions 28 to 507 of the family's 1533-position model. The record is from RNAcentral.
GAUGAACGCUGGCGGCGUGCCUAAUACAUGCAAGUCGAACGCUGGAAAUCUAGCUUGCUCGAUUGAAGGAGUGGCGAACGGGUGAGUAAUACAUAAGCAACCUACCCACGAAGACUGGGAUAAUCUCUGGAAACGGGGACUAAUACCGGAUAGGUAAUCGGAAGGCAUCUUCUGAUUAUUAAAGGUUAAAAACACUGGUGGAUGGGCUUAUGGCGCAUUAGUUAGUUGGUGAGGUAACGGCCCACCAAGACGAUGAUGCGUAGCCGGCCUGAGAGGGUGAACGGCCACAUUGGGACUGAGACACGGCCCAGACUCCUACGGGAGGCAGCAGUAGGGAAUUUUCAGCAAUGGGGGAAACCCUGACCGAGCAACGCCGCGUGAGUGAUGACGGCCUUCGGGUUGUAAAGCUCUGUUGUAAGGGAAGAACGGUAGAUAGAGAAUAUCUAAAUGACGGUACCUUACCAGAAAGCCACGGCUAACUACGUG